UACGUAGGGUGCAAGCGUUGUCCGGAAUUACUGGGUGUAAAGGGUGCGCAGGCGGGUCUGUGCGUCGGAGGUUAAAGACCUCGGCUUAACCGAGGAAGUGCCUUCGAAACGGCAGAUCUUGAAUGUGAGAGAGGAUGAUAGAAUUCCUGGUGUAGCGGUGAAAUGCGUAGAUAUCAGGAGGAAUACCAGUGGCGAAGGCGGUCAUCUGGCUCACAAUUGACGCUCAGGCACGAAAGCGUGGGGAGCAAACAGG
RNAcentral lists this ribosomal RNA (253 nucleotides) under uncultured bacterium. RNAcentral describes it as "partial 16S ribosomal RNA". It matches the Rfam family "Bacterial small subunit ribosomal RNA", at positions 524 to 776 of the family's 1533-position model. The record is from RNAcentral.